Molecule: long non-coding RNA, 1527 nt
Filed under: Homo sapiens (human)
Lineage: Eukaryota; Metazoa; Chordata; Mammalia; Primates; Hominidae
Description: non-protein coding lnc-AES-6:5
Source: RNAcentral
GUUAGGCUGCAGCUGCUGGAUGUGUCUCCUGAUCCCUGAGACCCACUCCUCCCAUGCAUCCUCAGAGUCCCUCAAACCCCACAUCCAGAGCCAGACAGGAUGAAGCGACUAAGACACAGAGCACUGAAGCAAUCUGCCCCUCAGAAGUCCCCCAGAGGCGCGUGAACCCUGAGCUGCCCCCCAGACUCUGGGUUUCCCCUUCUUUUCCCCAAACAGCCCUAGCUCCCCCCAGGCACUCGCGUUGCUCAGACCUUUGUGAUGGACUCUGAGUGUUGUGUGUGCAUUUCUCUGUGUUUGUUCAUGUACAAGCGUGCUCGUGUGUGUGUGUGUAUAGAUGUACACAUGUACAUGGGUGUGUCUGGGUGUGUGAUUUGUUUGCAUAUUUGUGUGUGGGGCACGCGCAUGUAUCCUUGGCUGCAUUUGUGGGUGCGUGCAUAGGUGUGCUUGUGUGUGCAUUUGUAUGUGUGCACACAUGUGCGUGCAUGUGCAUGGGGGGAUUGCAUGCAGGCAUGUGUGUAUCCUUGUGUGUUUGUGUAUGUGCAUGUGUGUGUGUGCAUGUGGGAAUUUGCAUGCAUGCUUGUGUGUGUUUGUGUAUGUGCAUGUGUGUGUGUGCAUGUGGGAAUUUGCAUGCAUUCUUGUGUGUGUUUGUGAGUGUGUACACGUGCAUGGGCGUGUUUGAGUGUGUACAUUUGUGUGUGCACUUAUUUGUGUGCAUCUGUGUGGGGGCAUCUGCAUGGAUCCUUGUGUGCAUUUGUGUGUGUGCACACGUGUGCACGUGUGUGCAUUCAUUUGUGUAUGUGUGUGGGUGUGUGCAUGUGGGCAUGCGUGUGUAUCUUUGUGAGCAUGUACGUGUGUGUCCUUGUGUGCAUGUCUGUGCGUGUGCAUACAUGUGCGUGUGUGCAUUUAUGCGUGUAUACUUGUGUGUGCACUUGUAUGUAUGCACAUAUGUCUGGAGGACAUGGCCUUGCCCCAGGGUCUGGGGACCCUUCCCUGCCUGCCCUGCCCUGCCCUGCCCUGCCCUGAAGUCUGGGGAACUUGGCCCUGCUCCGGGGUCUGGGGAACCCUGCCCUGGGCCCCUGCCUGCCCUGGGCCCCUGCCUGCCCUGGCGGCUCACCUUGCUCUCGGGCCUGCUGAAUGGAAUCUGCAGCCGCUCCAUGGCCUCGAUCAUGGCCCGCAUGGACACGAAGAUGUUCUGGUAGACCAGGGGCCGGAAGCCCUUGCGCUCCUCCUCCGAGUAGCCGGCGCCGUGGAUGAUCCGCAUCUGCUUGAUGAAGAUGAGACACAGAGGACCAGAGAGGUUUAGUGACUUAAUUUGGGUCACACAGCAAGUGGAACCCCAGGGGAGUAAACUUGGGGUCGUGUGAGUCCUUCACCAACAAAAUGGGACACGGCCAGUCGAGCUGGGGAAAUAAAUGAUAAUCCUGUUGCCACCCGCGACACAGAUUUGAUGACUCAGGGAUGGGUCAUCACCCGAAGCCUGAAGAGCUGCAGACUGGGUCUCGCAAUGUUGUCCAGGCUGGUCUUGAA